Molecule: unclassified non-coding RNA, 147 nt
Organism: Papio anubis (olive baboon)
Lineage: Eukaryota; Metazoa; Chordata; Mammalia; Primates; Cercopithecidae
Rfam family: Metazoan signal recognition particle RNA
About the family: The signal recognition particle (SRP) is a universally conserved ribonucleoprotein. It is involved in the co-translational targeting of proteins to membranes.
Source: Ensembl
GCCGGGCGUGGUGGUGCGCGCCUGUAGUCCCAGCUACUGGGAGGCUGAGGCAGGAGAAUGGCAUGAACCCGGGAGGCGGAGUUUGCAGUGAGCCGAGAUAGCGCCACCGCACUCCAGCCUGGGUGACAAAGCAAGACUCUGUCUCAA